Temnothorax curvispinosus is the source of this 77-nucleotide small nucleolar RNA. Lineage: Eukaryota; Metazoa; Arthropoda; Insecta; Hymenoptera; Formicidae. The record is from RefSeq and is a predicted model, not a curated record.
ACAUACAUGAUGACAACAUAAAACAUUUGAUAAUACUGUGAUACAUUAUUAUUAUGAGCUUUUUAACACUGAAUGCA